UACGUAGGGACCAAGCGUUGUUCGGAUUUACUGGGCGUAAAGGGCGCGUAGGCGGCGCGACAAGUCACUUGUGAAAUCUCUGGGCUUAACUCAGAACGGCCAAGUGAAACUGUUGUGCUAGAGUGCAGAAGGGGCAAUCGGAAUUCUCGGUGUAGCGGUGAAAUGCGUAGAUAUCUGGAGGAAUACCGGUGGCGAAGGCGGCAUCCUGGACCGAGAUUGACACUAAAGCGCGAAAGCCAGGGGAGCAAACGGG
This 253-nucleotide ribosomal RNA is filed under the name uncultured bacterium. RNAcentral's name for it is "partial 16S ribosomal RNA". It matches the Rfam family "Bacterial small subunit ribosomal RNA", at positions 524 to 776 of the family's 1533-position model. The record is from RNAcentral.